AAAGUCGUAACAAGGUUUCCGUAGGUGAACCUGCGGAAGGAUCAUUAUCGAAUUUUAAAGGAUGUGCUGGCUGCCCUCACAGGUUUGCAUGUGCACUCCACAAAAUCUCCAUCCUCUACCCCAUUGUGCACAACCAGUAGCAAAACAGGUUCACAGAGCAAUCUGUGCACAUUGUCUGCCUACGCUUUUUUAUACCAAACCCCAAUAAUAUGUCAGAAUGAUGUAUUGCAGUAAGCUUUCACAAGCUGAAAUCUAAUACAACUUUCAACAAUGGAUCUCUUGGUUCUC
RNAcentral lists this unclassified non-coding RNA (288 nucleotides) under Basidiomycota sp. RNAcentral's name for it is "partial contains small subunit ribosomal RNA, internal transcribed spacer 1, and 5.8S ribosomal RNA". The stretch from base 1 to 47 matches the Rfam family "Eukaryotic small subunit ribosomal RNA", at positions 1785 to 1831 of the family's 1831-position model. The record is from RNAcentral. Lineage: Eukaryota; Fungi; Basidiomycota.